CAGGCCGGAUUCCCUGCAGGAUCUGCGCGUGUGGCCACGAGCGUAGGUGUGCAGCACCGGAGCGCGAGGCUCCCCCAAACCUCCACCUCUUCCCUUCUUUCCCUUCGCCGGUUCUCAGCAGCUGAAGUUAGGUGGGUUUUUCCUAGAGCUUUGGUUUCCCUGCAGUUAUGAGCAGGGAAGGGUCGCUGGGAGAAGCUGCUGCCCCUUGGAUYGCCUUUUCCCAGCAGAGCCAKGCCCUGGUGAUGCAGCUCCUCCRCCCAAAGCCGAUCGCUGCUGGAUGCUCUCCCGCUUUGGAGGCUCGGCGCACCCGUGCCUGCAGAGCCGCGCCGCACCGGGGCUGCAAAAAAUGUCCCCUUUGAGCCCUUUCCCCUCCGUGCUUUGGGAGGGGGGGGCUGGACCGUGACUCGCACGAGCAGCGCUGUGUUGAUGCAGCGAAGCGCCAGAAGGCCCCAGCGAGGAGCACAGUGCUGCCGACACGGGGAGCGAGGGAGAAUCCCUGCGCGGUAGGAGAUGUCGGGUACUCGUUGCUGGGAAGAACUGGUGUUUCGCCUCUCGCCCACCCCUCCGCCAGCUCUUUGGGGCCACCGGUUCAGACUCCAGCUGCACCGAGGAAGGGAUCUUGUUUUCCAGAGACCCCACCCGGAGGAGCAACUGGAUUUUGCCUUCAUUUUCCCCUCGAGAAGGACGGGGGCCGGCGUUUGCCAGCUCGUUCUGCUCCCCAGGAGGAACAAAGUGGGAAUCGGGCACGGUAGCACCACACUAAGGUGUUUUGACUCUUGGCAAUAAAACUUGGAGCGAGCCACAGCUGAGACAAGGUGAUGUGUUUUAUUGUGGGUGCCGUGUAUUUUAAUCCCUGCUAACAGCUCRCAGAAGGAUGCGUCCCCCUCCCUCCUCGGGGACCAGCUCGUCGCCGCGUCGCGGGAGCUGAGCCGAGGCAGCCGUGGCCGCUGCGCUGCAGCUCUUGCUCCCGUGCGGUAGGCGAGAGCUCACGUUAAAGGGGCCGUUUCUCCCCCCGCCUGGGUUUGCACUUUAUUUCAGCACAGCUCCAGCCCUGCGCUCCCCCCUUCCGCUCGGYGCAGGAGGYGKCRGCGACGAGGGAGCAGCGAGCGCUUCCCCCCGACGUGCUUUGUGUGGGGGCAGAGGUGGCGCAGGGCUUUUUUGUCUGCCACUGCUGCCCUUAAAGGUAAGGYUGAGAGGCUUUAAGAGCCUUAAAGUCUCUGGGUACUCUUAAAGUAACUUUGAGUUACUUAGGAAGACAUUAAGUCACUUUAAGAAUAACCUAAGGAACUCAGACUAACUUUAAGAACUUUAUUCUUAAGUUCUUAAAGUGACUUUAAGGGUACCCAGAGACUUUAAGGCUCUUA
RNAcentral lists this long non-coding RNA (1364 nucleotides) under Apteryx rowi (Okarito brown kiwi). Its description in RNAcentral is "lncRNA (ENSARWG00000000132.1)". Lineage: Eukaryota; Metazoa; Chordata; Aves; Apterygiformes; Apterygidae. The record is from RNAcentral.